Molecule: ribosomal RNA, 253 nt
Filed under: uncultured bacterium
Lineage: Bacteria
Description: partial 16S ribosomal RNA
Rfam family: Bacterial small subunit ribosomal RNA
Source: RNAcentral
UACAGAGGGUGCGAGCGUUAAUCGGAAUUACUGGGCGUAAAGCGUGCGUAGACGGCUAUCUAAGUCGGGUGUGAAAGCCCCGGGCUCAACCUGGGAAUUGCAUUCGAGACUGAAUAGCUAGGGUGCGGUAGAGGGAGGCGGAAUUUCCGGUGUAGCGGUGAAAUGCGUAGAGAUCGGAAAGAACACCAACGGCGAAAGCACUCUGCUGGGCCGACACUGACACUGAGAGACGAAAGCUAGGGGAGCGAAUGGG